Molecule: ribosomal RNA, 371 nt
Filed under: uncultured bacterium
Lineage: Bacteria
Description: bacterial SSU rRNA
Rfam family: Bacterial small subunit ribosomal RNA
Source: RNAcentral
AGAGGUGGCAAGCGUUGUUCGGAAUUACUGGGCGUAAAGGGCGCGUAGGCGGUCCGAUAAGUCCCACGUGAAAUCCCCCGGCUCAACUGGGGAACUGCGCGGGAAACUGACGGACUUGAGUUCCGGAGAGGGAAGCGGAAUUCCGGGUGUAGCGGUGAAAUGCGUAGAUAUCCGGAGGAACACCGGUGGCGAAGGCGGCUUCCUGGACCGACACUGACGCUGAGGCGCGAAAGCUAGGGGAGCAAACGGGAUUAGAUACCCCGGUAGUCCUAGCUGUAAACGAUGAGUGCUGGGUGUAGGGGGUGUUAACCCCUCCUGUGCCGAAGCUAACGCAUUAAGCACUCCGCCUGGGGAGUACGGUCGCAAGGCUG